This is a long non-coding RNA of Dreissena polymorpha, 2485 nucleotides long. RefSeq lists it as uncharacterized. NCBI's taxonomy places the organism in Eukaryota, Metazoa, Mollusca, Bivalvia, Myida, Dreissenidae. The transcript is spliced from 3 exons. The record is from RefSeq and is a predicted model, not a curated record.
AAAACCCUCCCGUAAAAGAAACACUAAGUGUUGCAUUCAUUAAUCCUAUAAAAUUACCCAUUGUGUGUAUUGUGUUUUCAGGGGUAUGAAAUUGAAAGAAAAUAUGUAAUCAUUAACUGUAAACAUACCGCUUUCUAAUGUGCAUAUAUAUCCGAUAAUCCAAUAUAAUAACAACAUCAAUUAAAACAUAAAAUGAGGCCAUUUAUAAACAAGUGAAUUUAAAUUUAGAUUGAAUGCAAUACGAUACAGUGCAACGAUUAGUCGCGUCAUAUGCUCAUUCAUGCAAAACACGUGCUUUCCGGGAAGUUUCUGAAAACUUUGCGAAAAUGAAAGUAAAAUUCUGUUAACAACUAAGAAUUCGUUAGCAUGUAACUAAUUUGUCUUAAUUACUUAUUUAAUUUUGCUUCGACUGUAACGUUUUCAAUUGCAUUUUUGCAGACAAUAUAUAAAGCAUACUGUAUUGUCAAAUAUGUCAAUGAUUCAGUUAUUUAGGCCCACUUAUCAGCUAAUCAUAACAAUUAACUAGUUAAUGGCAUACAAUAAUAUGUAUCAAAAUAGCAAACUGUGAAUCUGCAACUGCGGACAAAAACCCUCCCGUGAAAGCAAUUAAACACCGACAAAUGUAAUUGCUUCACACAUUGUUGCAUUCAUUAAUCCGCAAAGUUUACUCAAAAUAUCAAACUGUGAAUCUGCAACUACUUUUAGUUUUUAAGUAGUUUAAUCACAGAAUCAAUUAAAAGCAAUUAAACGCCGACAAAUGUAUUUGCUUCACACAAUGUUCCAUUCAUUAAUCCGAAAAAAUCACUCAAUGCUGACAACACUUGUUCAAAAUAUCAUACUGUGAAUCUGCAACAUAUAUAAAGCAAUUUGUUUGUGUAAGGGCACACAAGUGUCUACAAUGUUGGUUUUUGUUUAUCAAUUGAUUAUGCUUAUUUGUCAAUGAAAGUAACAUUAUACUGUCUAGACUUCAUAAUACUUGUUAUAAAACGAAAUAAAGAAUGUCUUGGGAAGCCUGUGUCCGCCUCUGUUAUUUUUGCGAUGAUGACUAAAAAAGAAACACGACUUUGAUGUUCUUAAUGCACUGGCCAGAGCACAAUUUGAUAUUUUAUAUAUUUUAUAGAAACACCCUACUUGUUAUUCAUACUAAGUAAUCAUAAAUAUCGUAGUUCUUAUCAUACUAAGUUAUAAUACAAAUCUUAGUUCAAACAUAUAUAAUUGAGUCAAAUGGGUGUAAAAUAACAACAUUUCAAUUCGGAAAUAUUUUAAUUAGUCAUUAUAUAGUGUAAUGUUACCUACUGAAGUGAAGUCUCUAUUACAAAAAAUAAAUAUCUCGGAUAACCGACAACAAAAUACAAAUGUCGGAAAUGACAUUCGGAAAUGACCGAUUUCGGAUUAAAAAUUCAUAAAUAAUUGUUGAUAGUUGAAUUCGUGGCUCAGAUUUCACGGGAGGGUUUUUGUCCGGUCCCGUUUUUACAUGGGAGAGUUUUUGUCCUCCCCCGUUUUUUUCAUGGGAGGGUUUUUGUCCGUCCCCGUUUAUUCAUGGGAGGGUUUUUGUCCGGCCCCUAUAAAACUGACGGGAGGGUUUUUAUCCGGGAGGGGUUUUGUCCGGCAUUCGGCCAACUUGAGGGGAACUGAAGUGGGCAAACCUCGCCCUGUCAUUGAACAAGAAAGCUGGAUUUGUUGAGAGAGUAUCAUUAAAGCUGAAAUCCAGCAUGAAACCAGGGAGGUGAAGGCCAUCGCACAGGCCAUGUGACGACUAUUCACUCCCCACCAGCUUGUGACUUGUUCCAUGAAGGGAGCAACAACUACAACGGGGUCACCAAGACCAUGCCUCCCCGCUGAGAGAAAUGCAAUCAUUGAUGUCAUAGCCAAAACCUUUGACAAGCCUCUGGUUGAUGUUGAAGAAAAGAUGAGAGGUUGUUUAAGGCGUCUGCGGCUGAUGCACAAGUAGACUGAAGUCUUUGUAAAUAAAAUGUGCUGUUAAAAUGAUUAUUUAACCAUUGUUUUAACUUGUUAUAUUGAUUUGCACCUGUUUCAACAACAUUAACUUAUUUUUAUGCUCCCGGUAGGGUCUCAUAUAACUGUCCGUCUGUCUGUCUAUCCGUCCGAAAACUUUAGCAUUGGUCAUAACUUUUGCAAUAUUGAAGAAAGCAACUUGAUAUUUUGCAUGCAUGUGUAUCUCAUUGAGCUGCACAUUUUGAGUGGUGCAGGGUCAAGGUCAUCCUUCAAGGUCAGAGGUCAAAAUCCAAUGGAAGUAAUAAGCUUUAAAGAGAGAUAAUUUCUAUACCUGCCAAAUGAUAAAUAGAAAUUUUAUUUCAAAACGGCGCAGUAGGGGGCAUUGUGUUUCUGACAAACACAUCUCUUGUUUGUACUUAUUCCAUACAAUCUUCCUUUUUUCAGUUCUUUCUUUGUGUUCAAUGUUAUGUUAUAACACUAUUAUAUUUUAUUAUAACAAUGCCAUGUCUGUCAAAAUAGUUUUAUCAUG